AUUGAACGCUGGCGGCAUGCCUUACACAUGCAAGUCGAACGGUAACGGGCCUUCGGGUGCCGACGAGUGGCGAACGGGUGAGUAAUACAUCAGAACGUGCCCGAUCGUGGGGGAUAACGAGGCGAAAGCUUUGCUAAUACCGCAUACGAUCUACGGAUGAAAGCAGGGGACCGCAAGGCCUUGCGCGGACGGAGCGGCCGAUGGCAGAUUAGGUAGUUGGUGGGAUAAAAGCUUACCAAGCCGACGAUCUGUAGCUGGUCUGAGAGGAUGAUCAGCCACACUGGGACUGAGACACGGCCCAGACUCCUACGGGAGGCAGCAGUGGGGAAUUUUGGACAAUGGGCGCAAGCCUGAUCCAGCCAUGCCGCGUGCAGGAUGAAGGCCUUCGGGUUGUAAACUGCCUUUGUACGGAACGAAAAGCCUUCUUUUAAUACAGGAGGGUCAUGACGGUACCGUAAGAAUAAGCACCGGCUAACUACGUG
Molecule: ribosomal RNA, 482 nt
Filed under: uncultured bacterium
Lineage: Bacteria
Description: partial 16S ribosomal RNA
Rfam family: Bacterial small subunit ribosomal RNA
Source: RNAcentral